AUCCAACUGAUGAGUCUCUAAUAAGACGAAACACAUGUCCUGGAU
Molecule: non-coding RNA, 45 nt
Organism: Schistosoma mattheei
Lineage: Eukaryota; Metazoa; Platyhelminthes; Trematoda; Strigeidida; Schistosomatidae
Source: Rfam